Molecule: ribosomal RNA, 440 nt
Filed under: uncultured bacterium
Lineage: Bacteria
Description: partial 16S ribosomal RNA
Rfam family: Bacterial small subunit ribosomal RNA
Source: RNAcentral
CCUACGGGAGGCAGCAGUGGGGGAUAUUGCACAAUGGGGGGAACCCUGAUGCAGCGACGCCGCGUGGGUGAAGGAGCGUUUCGGCGCGUAAAGCUCUAUCGGCAGGGAAGAAGAUGACGGUACCUGACUAAGAAGCCCCGGCUAACUACGUGCCAGAAGCCGCGGUAAUACGUAGGGGGCAAGCGUUAUCCGGAUUUACUGGGUGUAAAGGGGGCGGAGACGGCAAGGCAAGCCUGGAGUGAAAGCCCGGGGCCCAACCAUGGGACUGCUCUUGAAACUGCGUGGCUGGAGUGCAGGAGGGGCAUGCGGAAUUCCUAGUGUAGCGGUGAAAUGCGUAGAUAUUAGGAGGAACACCAGUGGCGAAGGCGGCCUGCUGGACUGUAACUGACGUUGAGGCCCGAAGGCGUGGGGAGCAAACAGGAUUAGAUACCCCAGUAGUC